GCCAGGCACAGUGGCCUGUGCCUGUAGUCCCAGCUACUUGGGAGGCUGAGGCUGGAAGAUUGCUUGAGCCCAGGAGUUCUGAGCUAUAGUGCGCUAUGCCGAUCAGGUGUCCGCACUAAGUUCAGCAUUAAUAUGGUGACCUCCCAGGAGCGGGGGACCACCAGUUUGCCUAAGGAGGGGUCAACUGGCCCAGGUCGGAAAUGGAGGUCAAAACUCCCGUGCUGAUCAGUAGUGGGAUCACGCCUGCGAGUAGCCACUGCACUCCAGCCUGGGCAACAUAGGGAGACUCCGUCUCU
RNAcentral lists this signal recognition particle RNA (296 nucleotides) under Aotus nancymaae (Ma's night monkey). RNAcentral's name for it is "Metazoan signal recognition particle RNA (ENSANAG00000002062.1)". It matches the Rfam family "Metazoan signal recognition particle RNA". Rfam says of the family: The signal recognition particle (SRP) is a universally conserved ribonucleoprotein. It is involved in the co-translational targeting of proteins to membranes. The eukaryotic SRP consists of a 300-nucleotide 7S RNA and six proteins: SRPs 72, 68, 54, 19, 14, and 9. The record is from RNAcentral. Lineage: Eukaryota; Metazoa; Chordata; Mammalia; Primates; Aotidae.